This 860-nucleotide ribosomal RNA is filed under the name uncultured archaeon. RNAcentral's name for it is "bacterial SSU rRNA". It matches the Rfam family "Archaeal small subunit ribosomal RNA", at positions 1 to 867 of the family's 1478-position model. The record is from RNAcentral.
UUUCUGGUUGAUCCUGCCAGACCUGACUGCUAUCGGAUUGAUACUAAGCCAUGCGAGUCGUUGUAGCAAUACAAGGCAUACGGCUCAGUAACGCGUAGUCAACCUAACCUAUGGACGGGAAUAACCUCGGGAAACUGAGAAUAAUGCCCGAUAGAACAUUAUGCCUGGAAUGGUUUAUGUUCCAAAUGAUUUAUCGCCAUAGGAUGGGACUGCGGCCUAUCAGUUUGUUGGUGAGGUAAUGGCCCACCAAGACUAUUACAGGUACGGGCUCUGAGAGGAGUAGCCCGGAGAUGGGUACUGAGACACGGACCCAGGCCCUAUGGGGCGCAGCAGGCGAGAAAACUUUGCAAUGUGCGAAAGCACGACAAGGUUAAUCCGAGUGAUUUCUGCUAAAGAGAUCUUUUGUUAGUCCUAGAAACACUAACGAAUAAGGGGUGGGCAAGUUCUGGUGUCAGCCGCCGCGGUAAAACCAGCACCUCAAGUGGUCAGGAUGAUUAUUGGGCCUAAAGCAUCCGUAGCCGGCUCUGUAAGUUUUCGGUUAAAUCUGUACGCUCAACGUACAGGCUGCCGGAAAUACUGCAGAACUAGGGAGUGGGAGAGGUAGACGGUACUCGGUAGGAAGUGGUAAAAUGCUUUGAUCUAUCGAUGACCACCUGUGGCGAAGGCGGUCUACCAGAACACGUCCGACGGUGAGGGAUGAAAGCUGGGGGAGCAAACCGGAUUAGAUACCCGGGUAGUCCCAGCUGUAAACUAUGCAAACUCAGUGAUGCAUUGGCUUGUGGCCAAUGCAGUGCUGCAGGGAAGCCGUUAAGUUUGCCGCCUGGGAAGUACGUACGCAAGUAUGAAACUUAAAGGAAUUG